UUGCGGUCCGUGGAGACACAUCCAGGACCACUCCUGUCUGAGGGCCGGCUGCAUAAUAACAAAUACCACACUGCGGUCUAACCAGCCGCAUUUGACGGUUCCGAGGGGGCGGCGGGCGCGCGCCUGUCCCCCGUCGGUCCGUUUAAAAAUCGUAUUUCAAUCGAAGAGCGAGCGGGCGACACGCUCCGCGGCGUGCCGCGCGUCCCACAGCUUUGAACAAGAGAUGUGGGGUGGCGCGAGCGCGACCGCGGCGGCGGGUGCGCCACUCAAAACGCGACCUCUUCGCAUAUCGAAGUAGGCGGACUCGACGUCCGAAGGGCGAGACGGCGCCGCGUGAUCGCGGGCGACGACAGUCGCCCCGGUCGCGGGGCGUCGUAGCGCCGACGGAUGUCGUGUCUGCCUCCAUUUAUAACGUUGGCCUCAGAUCAGGGAGGAUUACCCGCCGAAUUUAAGCAUAUUAGUAAGCGGAGGA
RNAcentral lists this ribosomal RNA (472 nucleotides) under Ectropis obliqua. RNAcentral's name for it is "eukaryotic LSU rRNA". The stretch from base 416 to 472 matches the Rfam family "Eukaryotic large subunit ribosomal RNA", at positions 1 to 57 of the family's 3401-position model. Lineage: Eukaryota; Metazoa; Arthropoda; Insecta; Lepidoptera; Geometridae. The record is from RNAcentral.